This 326-nucleotide ribosomal RNA is filed under the name uncultured eukaryote. RNAcentral describes it as "partial 18S ribosomal RNA". It matches the Rfam family "Eukaryotic small subunit ribosomal RNA", at positions 1470 to 1796 of the family's 1831-position model. The record is from RNAcentral.
CCCUUAGAUGUCCGGGGCUGCACGCGCGCUACACUGAGGGAAUCAGCGUGCUAGAAAACCUUGUUUGACAUGGCUAGGUAACCCGUUGAAAAUCUUUCGUGAUUGGGAUCGGGACUUGCAAAUGUGUCCCUUGAACGAGGAAUUCCCAGUAAGUGCGGGUCAUAAGCUCGCGCUGAUUACGUCCCUGCCCUUUGUACACACCGCCCGUCGCACCUACCGAUUGAAUGUUUCGGUGAAGAUUCCGGAUAGGACUUUUUUGAUUUAUUUCAAUUUUGUCUUAAAAGCUAUCUAAACCUCAACAUUUAGAGGAAGGUGAAGUCGUAACA